Molecule: non-coding RNA, 120 nt
Organism: Glycine soja
Lineage: Eukaryota; Viridiplantae; Streptophyta; Magnoliopsida; Fabales; Fabaceae
Source: Rfam
UUUUUAUUGGAUGAUAAUUGUCACAUGUCAUGUUCUGAUUGGAUGUCAACUCCAUGAAAGAUGAAAUGCAUUAUUGUUUUCAUUGACUAAUCAGAACAUGACACGUGGAAGUUAUCAUCU